Thelohanellus kitauei is the source of this 105-nucleotide regulatory RNA element. The record is from Rfam. Lineage: Eukaryota; Metazoa; Cnidaria; Myxozoa; Bivalvulida; Myxobolidae.
UUUUAUAAUUAAGGUGUAGUUAAAAUUUGAGAAACAUUGGUGUAGAGAGCUCGAACCUCUCUACACCAACUAUCCAUAGAAACCUUCUAGGAGGCACCUAUGUGU